This 426-nucleotide ribosomal RNA is filed under the name Hylarana erythraea (green paddy frog). RNAcentral describes it as "partial 12S rRNA". It matches the Rfam family "Bacterial small subunit ribosomal RNA", at positions 836 to 1433 of the family's 1533-position model. Lineage: Eukaryota; Metazoa; Chordata; Amphibia; Anura; Ranidae. The record is from RNAcentral.
GCCCAACCGUAAAAAAUUAACUUACAACAAACAGCGCCAGGGAAUUACGAGCAAUGCUUAAAACCCAAAGGACUUGACGGUGUCCCACCCACCUAGAGGAGCCUGUUUUGUAAUCGAUGAUCCCCGCUACACCCCACCAUUUCUAGCUCUUCAGCCUGUAUACCUCCGUCGAAAGCCUACCAUGUGAACGCGUUUCAGUAGGCCCAAUGACCCCCAUCAAUAUGUCAGGUCAAGGUGCAGCUCACGAAAUGGGAGCUAAUGGGCUACAAUUUCUAAUUUAGAACAAACGAAAUACUAUGUGAAAUCAUAGUCAUGAAGGCGGAUUUAGUAGUAAAAAGAAAAUAGAGAGUUCUUUUUAACUCGGCUCUGGGACGUGUACAAACCGCCCGUCACCCUCUUCGAUAAAAUUAUUAUAGUAUAUACCCC